CAGCAGCCGCGGGAAUACGUAGGUGGCAAGCGUUGUCCGGAAUUAUUGGGCGUAAAGGGCUCGCAGGCGGUUUCUUAAGUCUGAUGUGAAAGCCCCCGGCUCAACCGGGGAGGGUCAUUGGAAACUGGGAAACUUGAGUGCAGAAGAGGAGAGUGGAAUUCCACGUGUAGCGGUGAAAUGCGUAGAGAUGUGGAGGAACACCAGUGGCGAAGGCGACUCUCUGGUCUGUAACUGACGCUGAGGAGCGAAAGCGUGGGGAGCAAACAGGAUUAGAUACCCCAGUAGUCCCUGUCUCUUAUAC
This 301-nucleotide ribosomal RNA is filed under the name uncultured bacterium. RNAcentral's name for it is "partial 16S ribosomal RNA". It matches the Rfam family "Bacterial small subunit ribosomal RNA", at positions 509 to 807 of the family's 1533-position model. The record is from RNAcentral.